CGAACGCUGGCGGCGCGUUUUAAGCAUGCAAGUCGAACGGUAAUAUGGUCUUCGGACUGUAUGAGAGUGGCGAACGGGUGAGUAACACGUAGGUGAUCUACCUCGGGCCCGGGGAUAGCCUGUGGAAACACAGGGUAAUACCGGAUGUGAGCAUCUGUGUAAAGGCAGAUGGGGAAAGGAGCUUAGGCUCCGGCCUGAGAUGAGCCUGCGGUCCAUUAGCUAGUUGGUGAGGUAAAGGCCCACCAAGGCGACGAUGGAUAGCCGGCCUGAGAGGGUGAACGGCCACACUGGGACUGAGACACGGCCCAGACUCCUACGGGAGGCAGCAGCUAAGAAUCUUCCGCAAUGGGCGAAAGCCUGACGGAGCGACGCCGCGUGAAUGAAGAAGGCCGGAAGGUUGUAAAGUUCUUUUCUUGGGGAGGAAUAAGGACAGGAGGGAAUGCCUGUUUGAUGACGUUAACCAAGGAAUAAGCCCCGGCUAAUUAC
Molecule: ribosomal RNA, 486 nt
Filed under: uncultured bacterium
Lineage: Bacteria
Description: bacterial SSU rRNA
Rfam family: Bacterial small subunit ribosomal RNA
Source: RNAcentral